Molecule: ribosomal RNA, 567 nt
Filed under: uncultured bacterium
Lineage: Bacteria
Description: partial 16S ribosomal RNA
Rfam family: Bacterial small subunit ribosomal RNA
Source: RNAcentral
UGGGGAAUUUUGGACAAUGGGGGAAACCCUGAUCCAGCCAUCCCGCGUGUGCGAUGAAGGCCUUCGGGUUGUAAAGCACUUUUGGCAGGAAAGAAACGUCGCGGGUUAAUACCCCGCGAAACUGACGGUACCUGCAGAAUAAGCACCGGCUAACUACGUGCCAGCAGCCGCGGUAAUACGUAGGGUACAAGCGUUAAUCGGAAUUACUGGGCGUAAAGCGUGCGCAGGCGGUUCGGAAAGAAAGAUGUGAAAUCCCAGAGCUUAACUUUGGAACUGCAUUUUUAACUACCGGGCUAGAGUGUGUCAGAGGGAGGUGGAAUUCCGCGUGUAGCAGUGAAAUGCGUAGAUAUGCGGAGGAACACCGAUGGCGAAGGCAGCCUCCUGGGAUAACACUGACGCUCAUGCACGAAAGCGUGGGGAGCAAACAGGAUUAGAUACCCUGGUAGUCCACGCCCUAAACGAUGUCAACUAGCUGUUGGGGGCCUUCGGGCCUUGGUAGCGCAGCUAACGCGUGAAGUUGACCGCCUGGGGAGUACGGUCGCAAGAUUAAAACUCAAAUGAAUUGAC